AACGAACGCUGGCGGCAUGCCUAACACUUGCAAGUCGAACGAGACCUUCGGGUCUAGUGGCGCACGGGUGCGUAACGCGUGGGAACCUGCCCUUAGGUUCGGAAUAACUCCCCGAAAGGGGUGCUAAUACCGGAUAAUGUCUUCGGACCAAAGAUUUAUCGCCUUUGGAUGGGCCCGCGUUGGAUUAGCUAGUUGGUAGGGUAAAAGCCUACCAAGGCGACGAUCCAUAGCUGGUCUGAGAGGAUGAUCAGCCACACUGGGACUGAGACACGGCCCAGACUCCUACGGGAGGCAGCAGUGGGGAAUAUUGGACAAUGGGCGAAAGCCUGAUCCAGCAAUGCCGCGUGAGUGAUGAAGGCCUUAGGGUUGUAAAGCUCUUUUACCCGAGAUGAUAAUGACAGUACCGGGAGAAUAAGCUCCGGCUAACUCCGUG
This 433-nucleotide ribosomal RNA is filed under the name uncultured bacterium. RNAcentral describes it as "partial 16S ribosomal RNA". It matches the Rfam family "Bacterial small subunit ribosomal RNA", at positions 29 to 507 of the family's 1533-position model. The record is from RNAcentral.